This 631-nucleotide ribosomal RNA is filed under the name uncultured Pseudomonas sp. RNAcentral describes it as "bacterial SSU rRNA". It matches the Rfam family "Bacterial small subunit ribosomal RNA", at positions 76 to 703 of the family's 1533-position model. The record is from RNAcentral. Lineage: Bacteria; Pseudomonadati; Pseudomonadota; Gammaproteobacteria; Pseudomonadales; Pseudomonadaceae.
AAGCUUGCUUCUCUUGAGAGCGGCGGACGGGUGAGUAAUGCCUAGGAAUCUGCCUGGUAGUGGGGGAUAACGUUCGGAAACGGACGCUAAUACCGCAUACGUCCUACGGGAGAAAGCAGGGGACCUUCGGGCCUUGCGCUAUCAGAUGAGCCUAGGUCGGAUUAGCUAGUUGGUGGGGUAAUGGCUCACCAAGGCGACGAUCCGUAACUGGUCUGAGAGGAUGAUCAGUCACACUGAAACUGAGACACGGUCCAGACUCCUACGGGAGGCAGCAGUGGGGAAUAUUGGACAAUGGGCGAAAGCCUGAUCCAGCCAUGCCGCGUGUGUGAAGAAGGUCUUCGGAUUGUAAAGCACUUUAAGUUGGGAGGAAGGGCAGUUACCUAAUACGUGAUUGUUUUGACGUUACCGACAGAAUAAGCACCGGCUAACUCUGUGCCAGCAGCCGCGGUAAUACAGAGGGUGCAAGCGUUAAUCGGAAUUACUGGGCGUAAAGCGCGCGUAGGUGGUUUGUUAAGUUGGAUGUGAAAUCCCCGGGCUCAACCUGGGAACUGCAUUCAAAACUGACUGACUAGAGUAUGGUAGAGGGUGGUGGAAUUUCCUGUGUAGCGGUGAAAUGCGUAGAUAUAGGAAG